UUUAUUUAAUGUGUAAUUUUUUGUUCACUGGUAGUUUUUUUUAAUUGUUUUAUAAGUGUUCUAGAAUAAUCGGCUAUAAAUUUUAAUUUUUAACUCUAUUUGUUGUUGUGUCUUUUUUUUAUCUUUUUAUUUUUAUGUUAUUUUUGUAAAAUGUUUUAAAAGAUAUUUAAAAGAUUUUUUAUUAUUUAAAAAGAUAUUUAAAUUUUGGUUUUUGAACUGGAUUAGUACCCAGGUAAUCAAAAUUAAUAAAGUUUUAUUUAAACCGAAAAAAUAUUGAUGACUUUGGAUUUUUUUUUGAAACAUGCGUGUGGAGAGCCCUCUUUUUUAGAAAAUCUUGUUGGCACAUGUAUGACUGUUUAGUUUUUAUUUUAUUUGUAAUGCUUUUAUGUUUUAUCAUUUAAAACAUAUAUAUAUUUGGCUUAUGGAUUUAUAAUCGUAUGUUACUAUUAUUGAAUUUUUUUUGGAUUAUUUUUUUUUGAAAUUGAAAAAGAAAGUAAUUUUUUUUUAUAUGUUAAUGAAUUUAAUAAACAAAGUGGUACAAACCAUCCCUCAAUGGCCUACAGGGACGUAAGUUGUAGUAUGGUAGAGGUUGUUGCUUUUUUAACUUUAAUGGAACGUCAUUUUUUGGGUGGAACUCAAUGUCGUAUUGGACCUAAUAAAGUUGGUUAAUCUGGAGUUUUUCAAGCAUUAUUUGAUGAUCAUAAAUUAUUAAAGAAGGAACAACUUUUUUUUUUACUUUUCUUCUUGACUAUUUUUUUUUUUUUGUUAAUGCCUAUUUGUGGUUUUAUUUUGAUGAUUUUUUUUUUUUGAUUUACUUUGCCUUAUUUUUUUGUUUUUAUAUCUUUUGAUUAUUUUGAUAUUUUUUUUUUU
RNAcentral lists this small RNA (870 nucleotides) under Brugia malayi. RNAcentral's name for it is "RNA transcript Bm10539". The record is from RNAcentral. Lineage: Eukaryota; Metazoa; Nematoda; Chromadorea; Rhabditida; Onchocercidae.